GAUGAAGAACGUAGCGAAAUGCGAUACGUAAUGUGAAUUGCAAAUUCAGUGAAUCAUCGAGUCUUUGAACGCACAUUGCGCCCCCUGGUAUUCCGGGGGGCAUGCCUGUCCGAGCGUCAUUGCUGCCCUCAAGCACGGCUUGUGUGUUGGGCCCCGUCCUCCGAUCCCGGGGGACGGGCCCGAAAGGCAGCGGCGGCACCGCGUCCGGUCCUCGAGCGUAUGGGGCUUUGUCACCCGCUCUGUAGGCCCGGCCGGCGCUUGCCGAUCAACCCAAAUUUUUAUCCAGGUUGACUUGGGAUCAGGUAGGGAUACCCGCUGAACUUAAGCAUAUCAAUAAGCGGAGGA
Molecule: unclassified non-coding RNA, 345 nt
Filed under: soil metagenome
Description: partial contains 5.8S ribosomal RNA, internal transcribed spacer 2, and large subunit ribosomal RNA
Rfam family: 5.8S ribosomal RNA (bases 1-119)
Source: RNAcentral